AAGCACUCGGGACGCGAUGACCCCCACCCCUCUCCGGCGCCUGUCAUUCGGGUGCACGCGGUCACCUCAGGUGGGGCGAGCCAGUGGUGAGACCGACCCGUGUGGGG
Deinococcus deserti VCD115 is the source of this 107-nucleotide regulatory RNA element. It matches the Rfam family "c-di-GMP-II-GAG riboswitch aptamer". The record is from Rfam. NCBI's taxonomy places the organism in Bacteria, Thermotogati, Deinococcota, Deinococci, Deinococcales, Deinococcaceae.